Molecule: long non-coding RNA, 447 nt
Organism: Ananas comosus (pineapple)
Lineage: Eukaryota; Viridiplantae; Streptophyta; Magnoliopsida; Poales; Bromeliaceae
Exons: 2
Source: RefSeq, a predicted model, not a curated record
CCACUUCCCUCCUCCUCCUCCUCCUCUUGCCCACACUUUUACCCUCCGCACCAGCAACAGUAGGACUCGUUUGGGCCAAGCGGAGCGUCCGCGUCGGCGGCGGAGUCGACGGUUCGACGGAGGGAGGCGGGCGCCGGAGGGAGGCGUUGGGAUCGCGGCCGCCGCGGUGCGUCAACAAGUGCUCCAGCUGCAGCCCCUGCACGGCCACCUUAGUCGUCUCCCCGCACGGGCGCGGGCCCACGGCCGUUAGUCCCGCACGUGCGGCCGAGGACGGGUCCAAUUAUUACUUACUAGCUUGGAAGUGUGCCUGUGGCAACAAGCUGUUUCAACCUUAAUAAAAGGCUACCUCAUGUUAUAUUAUAUUAUUAAUUAAUUAAUUAAUCACUACAUGGUAGUUCAACUUGUCGAGGUUUAAUUAGUGAUACAUAUAUACCAUCUCUCUAUGUA